AUUGAACGCUGGCGGCAUGCCUUACACAUGCAAGUCGAACGGUAACAGGUCUUCGGAUGCUGACGAGUGGCGAACGGGUGAGUAAUACAUCGGAACGUGCCUAGUAGUGGGGGAUAACUACUCGAAAGAGUGGCUAAUACCGCAUGAGAUCUACGGAUGAAAGCAGGGGAUCGCAAGACCUUGUGCUACUAGAGCGGCCGAUGGCAGAUUAGGUAGUUGGUGGGAUAAAAGCUUACCAAGCCGACGAUCUGUGGCUGGUCUGAGGGGCCGAUCAGCCACACUGGGACUGGGACACGGCCCAGACUCCUACGGGAGGCAGCAGUGGGGAAUUUUGGACAAUGGGCGCAAGCCUGAUCCAGCAAUGCCGCGUGCAGGAUGAAGGCCUUCGGGCUGUAAACUGCUUGUGUACGGAACGAAAAGCCCUGGGUUAAUACCCUGGGGUCAUGACGGUACCGUAAGAAUAAGCACCGGCUAACUACGUGCCAGCAGCCGCCGCCG
This 498-nucleotide ribosomal RNA is filed under the name uncultured bacterium. Its description in RNAcentral is "partial 16S ribosomal RNA". It matches the Rfam family "Bacterial small subunit ribosomal RNA", at positions 30 to 523 of the family's 1533-position model. The record is from RNAcentral.